RNAcentral lists this ribosomal RNA (468 nucleotides) under uncultured bacterium. RNAcentral describes it as "partial 16S ribosomal RNA". It matches the Rfam family "Bacterial small subunit ribosomal RNA", at positions 28 to 507 of the family's 1533-position model. The record is from RNAcentral.
GACGAACGCUGGCGGCGUGCUUAACACAUGCAAGUCGAACGGAAAGGCCCUGCUUUUGUGGGGUGCUCGAGUGGCGAACGGGUGAGUAACACGUGAGUAACCUGCCCUUGACUUUGGGAUAACUUCAGGAAACUGGGGCUAAUACCGGAUAGGAGCUCCUGCUGCAUGGUGGGGGUUGGAAAGUUUCGGCGGUUGGGGAUGGACUCGCGGCUUAUCAGCUUGUUGGUGGGGUAGUGGCUUACCAAGGCUUUGACGGGUAGCCGGCCUGAGAGGGUGACCGGCCACAUUGGGACUGAGAUACGGCCCAGACUCCUACGGGAGGCAGCAGUGGGGAAUAUUGCACAAUGGGCGGAAGCAUGAUGCAGCAACGCCGCGUGCGGGAUGACGGCCUUCGGGUUGUAAACCUCUUUCGCCUGUGACGAAGCGUGAGUGACGGUAAUGGGUAAAGAAGCACCGGCUAACUACGUG